RNAcentral lists this unclassified non-coding RNA (346 nucleotides) under Hevea brasiliensis (rubber tree). Lineage: Eukaryota; Viridiplantae; Streptophyta; Magnoliopsida; Malpighiales; Euphorbiaceae. The record is from RNAcentral.
UGGUUGCAUUCCAUCCAAAUAAGUCCUCGUGGUUCCAUUGAACGCCCCUGAUAUGGCCGUUAUACUUAUUAUCCAAUCCUCGGAAGUGUUGUCGUGGCCAUUGAAUGCCUUGUCGGCGAGCAUUUGUUGGAGAAGACGAGCAACUUGAGCUCCGGCUGAAUGCCCCACGAUGUGAAUAGGAUGAUCCUCGUCCCAUUCUGGGUACUGCCCUUGUUCGUACAGGCGGCCGAAUUGCGAGUGACCAAAAACUCUGCUGUGUUCUUCACCGUAAUCGACUUUCCCACCUUUCAAAUAAUAGAACAACUCACGAGCCCUGUCGUAAAUGCUGGUUAAGGACCCCAAAUCA